UACGGGGGGAGCAAGCGUUGUUCGGAUUUACUGGGCGUAAAGGGCGCGUAGGCGGUCGUGACAAGUCCCUUGUGAAAUCUCCGGGCUUAACUCGGAACGGUCAAGUGAUACUGUCGGACUAGAGUACAGAAGGGGCAACUGGAAUUCUCGGUGUAGCGGUGAAAUGCGUAGAUAUCGAGAGGAACACCUGCGGCGAAGGCGGGUUGCUGGGCUGAUACUGACGCUGAGGCGCGAAAGCCAGGGGAGCGAACGGG
RNAcentral lists this ribosomal RNA (254 nucleotides) under uncultured bacterium. RNAcentral's name for it is "partial 16S ribosomal RNA". It matches the Rfam family "Bacterial small subunit ribosomal RNA", at positions 524 to 776 of the family's 1533-position model. The record is from RNAcentral.